This is a long non-coding RNA of Ostrinia nubilalis (European corn borer), 1542 nucleotides long. RefSeq lists it as uncharacterized. The record is from RefSeq and is a predicted model, not a curated record. NCBI's taxonomy places the organism in Eukaryota, Metazoa, Arthropoda, Insecta, Lepidoptera, Crambidae. The transcript has 3 exons.
CGCGUAACCAUUCCUCCCCCCUCCCCCAACCCGCGCCCUACCGGUGACCGAAACAUCUUUGAGGGCGAUGGGAACAACGGUUACUUCGGCGGCCACGACCAGUAUUCGGACCCUUUACUCGCUUGGCAUGAUACCGACCUGCGGGCUGUGCCCACCACUAGCCGUGGCGUAGCUUCUGCCAGUACAUACAGACAAGUGGAAACACGUUACGACGUUAGGACGAAUAGCACUUCGUCGCACACCGCGCCCCUUGCUGCGGCCCACAUUGCGCCCCAUGUGGCGCCCCCUCGCCCGGCGCAUCGCCCGAGUUGGGCAUUCCCGGAAAACCCAUGGGACGACUAAAUAUUUAUCAACUGUAUCUCACUUUCAACGCCUCGGUACCUUUUUUAAAUUUAAAUUAUUUGUGUUACAUUGAUUGAUUGUGUUGGUUGAACUGUUUUUUGUUUUUAAAUAUUUAUCGACACACAGAUAAGUGUCGCUUAGGUGCUUGUCCAUGAAUUCGCGCAUUAAUUUUAUGUGACCUAUAUGUUUUAUUCUAAUAUAGUAGAAUUUAUUUUAAGUUCGUGCUGAAUGUUAGCGCUCUAUGUUGUUUUAUUGUGCAACAGGUUUUGAAAGACAAACGACAGGCUAUCGACCCGGCUGCUCUGGCGAUCGGUUUUGUGUUCAGUGUUAAGAGUAUACCUACUUGAGUUGAUUCAGUUUUUCCUUUUUAUACAUUUGGCCUUGAUUCGAUGUUAGGAAAACCACAAAACCAGGAUUUUCUUUUGAAUUAAGUAAAUUAUUUUGCUUUAAAUUUGACAGAAGACUUGCUAUGUGAUAUGUUUUUGAAACAAGCCCACCCCUACCUAAACUUACCAAACCCAAUCACUUAUUCUUACCUUCCCAGCUACAUAUCCUAAACCCCAAGUAAGCAUUUGUAAAUAUGCCAUAUUCAUAGUGUAGGUUCCCUGGCACAUCAAUUUCAUCUCACGUAUGUGUUACCCCAUUCCCCUCCCCAAAAACAGAAUAUGCUUAAUAAAUUGUUUGUAAAUAACGAUCAAUAUAAUAAGUAGUUCCCUUCAACUACACUAUUUAAUCUCACCUAUUGCACGCACUUCUCCCCAAACCCCAGAAACAAAAUAGGUUAAAUAAGUUGUUUAAAAUUGUAAAUAGUUAUUUUUAAAUAAAAUGUGGCUGCCCUGGCACAUCGAUAUGAUAUCCCACCACACCUCUAUCCCCAAAAAUAAAAUAUCAUGUUUUCUUAGUUACUUAAAAUUGUAAAUGAUUGUUAUUCACUUAUGUAGCUCCCUUGGCACGGUCCUUUGAAUGUCACCUACUCCUCUCAAACCCAAAUCCCUAAAACAUAAAACUAAAUUAUUUUAAGCCCCAAAAGAACCCAAUCCAAAUUACACAUCCACCCGCUAAAUAAGUUUAAUAAGUUGAUAACCCAAUUUAUUUAAUAUCACAUACAAUCUUCAUCCCCAAAAUAAAACACCAAACAGUAGUUAUACAUAAUAAUUUGUAUAGGUAAAGUAUUUAUAUUAAGCACAUUACGACUGAUGA